This 253-nucleotide ribosomal RNA is filed under the name uncultured bacterium. RNAcentral describes it as "partial 16S ribosomal RNA". It matches the Rfam family "Bacterial small subunit ribosomal RNA", at positions 524 to 776 of the family's 1533-position model. The record is from RNAcentral.
CACGUAGGGGGCAAGCGUUGUCCGGAUUUAUUGGGCGUAAAGAGCUCGUAGGCGGUUUGUCGCGUCUGCUGUGAAAACUCGGGGCUUAACUCCGGGCCUGCAGUGGGUACGGGCAGACUAGAGUGCGGUAGGGGAGACUGGAAUUCCUGGUGUAGCGGUGAAAUGCGCAGAUAUCAGGAGGAACACCGGUGGCGAAGGCGGGUCUCUGGGCCGUAACUGACGCUGAGGAGCGAAAGCGUGGGGAGCGAACAGG